UGUCUGGAGAGGGUGGAGAGGAAGAGAGUCAGACACCUAUAGCACCGCGUCAUAGCCCAUGAAGCUUCUCCAGAGCAGGUGGAAGCAGGGAACGGAACCCAGGAGCCCUUCCAUCUGGAGCAGAUGACUUCAGAGACCCCAGGGCAGCUGGUCCGCAAGGCCAGGCAGUAGAGAAGGAGCCAGCAGGGGAGAGGUUCCUGCACAGCAUUAGAUGUGUCUGACUUCUAAGGAAAAUGAGACUCCAGACACAUUGAUGGGGCAUCAACAAGACUGUGGAUAGGAAAUGAGUGAGCUGCCAACUAUUGAGCUGCUGCGCCAGAGACCACAAGACUCCACUUCUGUCUCCAUCAUCGCAGAGCCCUGCCAUCUGGAGCAGACCUCUGAGGAGACCCCAGGUCAGUGUGUCCUCAGGCCCAGACACUGAGUAGGAACCAGCAGGGAGCACUGGUGAACCCCAGCCAUUCUGCAAGUGUCCCCUCUGGGCCCAUGACUGCCAUCCUGAUGUGGCUCCUGACAUUGAAAGCCACCUGUAGGGGUGAGGGGGUGGUACAGGCAGGGACCAAGACCCACCCACAGUCCAACUUGGGGACACUUCCUGUUGUGAAAUCAGACCCAGCUCACU
Erinaceus europaeus (western European hedgehog) is the source of this 622-nucleotide long non-coding RNA. RefSeq lists it as uncharacterized. NCBI's taxonomy places the organism in Eukaryota, Metazoa, Chordata, Mammalia, Eulipotyphla, Erinaceidae. The record is from RefSeq and is a predicted model, not a curated record. The transcript has 4 exons.